ACUGCGGGCUGUGUUACCCAGGGGGGCGGGGGUUUGCCCCGGGGACCGGGGGCAGCAGCGUGUUAAUCUACCCUCAGUGUGGCAACUGUUCUCCCUCCUUUCUCAUGUGGUCGGAGAGCAGCACACUCAGGGCGCAAGGACAAGCCUUCUACCCGGGGGCAUAUGGUGUAUAACCCGUAUUAUAUAGAGAAACGGGAAGCUAUUUUGUAGGUUUGGAAAGCACCCACACAGCGAAACAGUGGAUGGGAUUGUGCAGCGCUGGAGGAUUCUCUUGAGAUCAAUGACUGCAGUCUAAAUGCCCCUUCAGUACAAUCCUGCACUCACAUUCUGGGAAACGAGGCCGGGGGGGUGCGGAAUGAAUCAAGCAACAUCGUAAAGAAGAGCUCUGAGUUUAUGGUCCUGAUGGGGUGAAAGGGUGACCCCCGUGUGUACAGAGCGAGGCACCAUGACCUCACAAACAAAUUCCAUAGCUGGCUUCCGUAAGCCCACAAGACGGCUCAUACCACUAAGGAUCACAUUUGAACUGUCAUCGAAGUAAAGCACCGAUAUGGCAUUCAGCUUGGUCGGAGCGCAGCACGGCUUGGGAACAUUGUCGGGAAACAUCAGAUGAACCUAAAGAAGAGGAAUGAGCUGGGUGUUAGUCUCUAUACAAGCCCCCCUCGGUGUUUCACAGCUAGGGGGAAUAUUACGGAUGCUCAACUUGCUGUCUUUAAAUGUCUUUAAAGGAUAAGCUGCAGAAAUGCAGACGGCACGUACCAGCGUCUGCACGAUGGCAUGAUUGGUGGCGUUCAUGUGUGCGUUGAGUGGGAAUGAGCAUUCCCCGUCACAGUAAAAGGCAGCAUAACCCUCGGGUGCAAUGAUCCAGUCCUUCGGGAGAAAACACAGGUGACAUCUUUUCCAUUGCUGUCCCUCAAACCGGUGACUUUGCCAUGCACCAGAGCCCUACUAUGGCUCCCACAUGGUACUGCAGUAACAUCAUUGUGCAGUAUUACAGGAGCACAUACCGGAAUCCAGUGUGCAGUAUUACAGGAGGACAUACCGGAAUCCAGUGUGCAGUAUUACAGGAGCACGUACCGGAAUCCAGUGUGCAGUAUUACAGGAGCACGUACCGGAAUCCAGUGUGCAGUAUUACAGGAGCACGUACUGGAAUCCAGUGUGCAGUAUUACAGGAGCGCGUGACGGAAUCCAGUGUGCAGUAUUACAGGAGCACAUAUCGUAAUCCAUCGUGCAAUAUUACAGGAGCACAUACCGGAAUCCAGUGUGCAGUAUUACAGGAGCAUGUACCAAAAUCCAGUAUGCAGUAUUACAGGAGCAUGUACCAAAAUCCAUCCAUCCAUCCAUCCAUUUUCCAAACCGCUUAUCCUAUUGGGUCGCGGGGGGUCCGGAGCCUAUCCCGGAAGCAAUGGGCACGAGGCAGGGAACAACCCAGGAUGGGGGGCCAGCCCAUCGCAGGGCACACUCACACACCAUUUACUCACACAUGCACACCCAUGGGCAAUUUAGCGACUCCAAUUAGCCUCAGCAUGUUUUUGGACUGCGGGGGGAAACCGGAGUACCCGGAGGAAACCCCACGACGACAUGGGGAGAACAUGCAAACUCCACACACAUGUGACCCAGGCGGAGACUCGAACCCGGGUCCCAGAGGUGUGAGGCGACAGUGCUAACCACUGCACCACCAUGCCACCCCCUGUACCAAAAUCCAGUAUGCAGUAUUACAAUAGCACGUACCGGAAUCCAGUGUGCAGUAUUGCAGGAAGACAUACCAGAAUCCAGUGUGCAGUAUUACAGGAGCAUGUACCAAAAUCCAGUAUGCAGUAUUACAGGAGGGCAUACCGGAAUCCAGUGUGCAGUAUUACAGGAGCACAUACCGGAAUCCAGUGUGCAGUAUUACAGGAGCACAUACUGGAAUCCAGUGUGCAGUAUUACAGGAGGACAUACCGGAAUCCACUGUGCAGUAUUACAGGAGCAUGUACCGGAAUCCACUGUGCAGUAUUGCAGGAGGACAUACCGGAAUCCAGUGUGCAGUAUUACAGAAGCAUGUACCAAAAUCCAGUAUGCAGUAUUACAGAAGCACAUACCAGAAUCCAGUGUGCAGUAUUACAAGAGCAUGUACCAGAAUCCAGUGUGCAGUAUUACAGGAGCAAGUACCGUAAUCCAGUGUGCAGUAUUACAGGAGCAGGUACCGUAAUCCAGUGUGCAGUACUACAGGAGCAUGUACUGGAAUCCCAUAGCAUUCCUAUAAUCUGUACUCUGCCUCACCUGCCA
This is a long non-coding RNA of Brienomyrus brachyistius, 2265 nucleotides long. RefSeq lists it as uncharacterized. The transcript has 3 exons. NCBI's taxonomy places the organism in Eukaryota, Metazoa, Chordata, Actinopteri, Osteoglossiformes, Mormyridae. The record is from RefSeq and is a predicted model, not a curated record.